This 253-nucleotide ribosomal RNA is filed under the name uncultured bacterium. Its description in RNAcentral is "partial 16S ribosomal RNA". It matches the Rfam family "Bacterial small subunit ribosomal RNA", at positions 524 to 776 of the family's 1533-position model. The record is from RNAcentral.
UACGUAGGGUGCCAGCGUUGUUCGGAAUUACUGGGCGUAAAGGGUUCGUAGGCGGUGCGGCAAGUUGGGAGUGAAAUCUCUGGGCUUAACCCAGAGGCUGCUUCCAAAACUGCUGUGCUUGAGUGUGGGAGAGGCGCGUGGAAUUGCAGGUGUAGCGGUGAAAUGCGUAGAUAUCGUAAGGAAGACCAGUGGCGAAGGCGGGUCUCUGGACAGUUCCUGACGCUGAGGCACGAAGGCCAGGGGAGCAAACGGG